UUUGCUAUUGUUAUUGGUAUCGUAUUGCUGUUUUAUUGAUGUUGGAUUGCCAUGUUAGUGGUAUUAUAUUGGCAUCGUAGUGCUGUUUUAUUGCUAUUUUAUUAUGGUUUUAUUCCCGUUCCAUUGUGGUUUUAAUGGUUUUGGCGAUUAUGCAAUUAGAUUAUGUGUUUGUUUGUUGUUUUGUUUCAUCCAAAGAAGGGAAAUUGUAAGGUUCAUUUAUAGUCUCUAC
This 229-nucleotide long non-coding RNA is filed under the name Prunus persica (peach). RNAcentral describes it as "long non-coding RNA (PPER_LNC003689)". The record is from RNAcentral. Lineage: Eukaryota; Viridiplantae; Streptophyta; Magnoliopsida; Rosales; Rosaceae.